GAUGAACGCUGGCGGCGUGCCUAAUACAUGCAAGUCGAGCGAACAGACGAGGAGCUUGCUCCUCUGACGUUAGCGGCGGACGGGUGAGUAACACGUGGAUAACCUACCUAUAAGACUGGGAUAACUUCGGGAAACCGGAGCUAAUACCGGAUAAUAUAUUGAACCGCAUGGUUCAAUAGUGAAAGACGGUUUUGCUGUCACUUAUAGAUGGAUCCGCGCCGCAUUAGCUAGUUGGUAAGGUAACGGCUUACCAAGGCGACGAUGCGUAGCCGACCUGAGAGGGUGAUCGGCCACACUGGAACUUGGCCACGGUCCAGACUCCUACGGGAGGCAGCAGUAGGGAAUCUUCCGCAAUGGGCGAAAGCCUGACGGAGCAACGCCGCGUGAGUGAUGAAGGUCUUCGGAUCGUAAAACUCUGUUAUUAGGGAAGAACAAAUGUGUAAGUAACUAUGCACGUCUUGACGGUACCUAAUCAGAAAGCCACGGCUAACUACGUG
This 497-nucleotide ribosomal RNA is filed under the name uncultured bacterium. RNAcentral describes it as "partial 16S ribosomal RNA". It matches the Rfam family "Bacterial small subunit ribosomal RNA", at positions 28 to 507 of the family's 1533-position model. The record is from RNAcentral.